This is a transfer RNA of Loxodonta africana (African savanna elephant), 71 nucleotides long. It matches the Rfam family "tRNA". From Rfam's summary of the family: Transfer RNA (tRNA) molecules are approximately 80 nucleotides in length. Their secondary structure includes four short double-helical elements and three loops (D, anti-codon, and T loops). The record is from Rfam. NCBI's taxonomy places the organism in Eukaryota, Metazoa, Chordata, Mammalia, Proboscidea, Elephantidae.
UUAUGGGUGGUUCAAUGGUAGAAUUCUUGCUUUCCAUACAGGAGACCCAGGUUCAGUUCCUGGCCAACAUA